UUUUUCAGCAAAGAAUUAAAUUAAAUAAAAGGGAAUACUUCAGGGGUAUCCCAACCCGUGUACAGAAAAAGGAAAGAAACCUAUCUAUAUCUAGAACAAAACCUCUUCCCUUCCAAAAAAUAAUAAAACUAGGUACCAUAAACAGUUUGCACCAAGAACAGGUACCAUAACCUAGGUGACACAAGACAAGGCUUCAUUAGAGCUAAGCCACCACCAUCAACGAAACAACUAAUUCUAUCAUUCCUCCAACACGUCACAAACCUUGCAUCCCCAUGGAUCAU
RNAcentral lists this long non-coding RNA (281 nucleotides) under Phaseolus vulgaris (common bean). RNAcentral's name for it is "long non-coding RNA (PVUL_LNC001791)". The record is from RNAcentral. Lineage: Eukaryota; Viridiplantae; Streptophyta; Magnoliopsida; Fabales; Fabaceae.